GCGGAGGAAAAGAAACUAACAAGGAUUCCCCUAGUAACGGCGAGUGAAGCGGGAACAGCUCAAAUUUUAANUCUGGCUGCCUUCGCAGUCCGAGUUGUAAUUUGAAGGCGUCUGUCGCUUGUGAGACGAUGGCACAAGUCCUCUGGAACGUGGCAUCGUAGAGGGUGAGAAUCCCGUCUCUGGUCGUUGUCUUGCAGGCACACGGCAGGCGAUCCGAAGAGUCGAGUUGUUUGGGAUUGCAGCUCCAAAUGGGUGGUAAACUCCAUCUAAGGCUAAAUAUUGGCGAGAGACCGAUAGCGAACAAGUACCGUGAGGGAAAGAUGAAAAGAACUUUGAAAAGAGAGUAAAACAGUACGUGAAAUUGUUGAAAGGGAAACGCUUGAAGUCAGUCGUGCCGGCGGGGAUUCAGCGAACUUCGCGGAGUGAGCGUAUUUCCUCGCAUGGCAGGUCAGCGUCAGUUUUGCGCGUCGUGAAAGGGCUCGGGUAAGGUGACUCUCUUCGGGGAGUGUUAUAGGCCUGAGCAGAUGCGAUGCGCGGGACUGAGGAUUGCAGCGGACACCCUUCGGGGCGCGGCGACCGAUCCCUGCUCUGUCACCUUCGUCCGAUAGCGUGCUAACGGUCGGGGGAGCGGCGGUUGCACCGGGUUGGCAAGCCGGCGGCUYSCCUAAGGAUGCUGGCGUAAUGGCUUUAAACGACCCGUCUUG
This 704-nucleotide ribosomal RNA is filed under the name Glomeromycotina sp. OTU25 DJMC-2012. RNAcentral's name for it is "eukaryotic LSU rRNA". It matches the Rfam family "Eukaryotic large subunit ribosomal RNA", at positions 50 to 656 of the family's 3401-position model. The record is from RNAcentral. Lineage: Eukaryota; Fungi; Glomeromycota.